This is a small nucleolar RNA of Pistacia vera, 136 nucleotides long. RefSeq annotates it as small nucleolar RNA snoR127. The transcript has a single exon. Lineage: Eukaryota; Viridiplantae; Streptophyta; Magnoliopsida; Sapindales; Anacardiaceae. The record is from RefSeq and is a predicted model, not a curated record.
CUGGGAUGAUGUAGCUUAGCCAAAUCAGACACCAUUCAUGUGCUCCUUAAGGCAUUUUGUCUUUAAAGCUUGAAUUUUUAUGGGUAUUGUAGAGGCACAUUAAUGGUUUCUUGUGUACCCUUUUUCAAGCUCUAGA